Molecule: ribosomal RNA, 412 nt
Filed under: uncultured bacterium
Lineage: Bacteria
Description: bacterial SSU rRNA
Rfam family: Bacterial small subunit ribosomal RNA
Source: RNAcentral
GUGCCAGCAGCCGCGGUAAGACAGAGGGGGCAAGCGUUGCUCGGAAUUACUGGGCGCAAAGGGCGCGUAGGCGGGAUGGCAAGUCGGUCGUGAAAUCCCUCUGCUCAACUGAGGAUCGUCGAUCUACACUGCCGUUCUUGAGGAUUUCAGAGGAGACUGGAAUUCCCGGUGUAGCGGUGAAAUGUGUAGAGAUCGGGAGGAACACCGGUGGCGAAGGCGGGUCUCUGGGCAAUUCCUGACGCUCAGGCACGAAAGCGUGGGGAGCAAACAGGAUCAGAUACCCUGGUAGUCCACGCCAUAAACGAUGAGGACUAGACGUUGGAGGGGUAAGCCUUUCAGUGUCGUAGCUAACGCGCUAAGUCCUCCGCCUGGGGAGUACGGCCGCAAGGUUGAAACUCAAGGGAAUUGGCGG